This 267-nucleotide ribosomal RNA is filed under the name uncultured prokaryote. Its description in RNAcentral is "partial 16S ribosomal RNA". It matches the Rfam family "Bacterial small subunit ribosomal RNA", at positions 355 to 613 of the family's 1533-position model. The record is from RNAcentral.
UGAGGAAUAUUGCGCAAUGGGGGAAACCCUGACGCAGCGACGCCGCGUGAGUGAGGAAGGCCUUCGGGUCGUAAAGCUCUGUCAAAGGGAAAGAAGUGCAUAAUGGCUAAUACCUGUUAUGUUUGACGGUACCCUUAAAGGAAGCACCGGCUAACUCCGUGCCAGCAGCCGCGGUCAUACGGAGGGUGCAAGCGUUGUUCGGAAUUACUGGGCGUAAAGGGCGCGUAGGCGGUUUGAUAAGUCAGAUGUGAAAGCCCAGGGCUUAAC